RNAcentral lists this ribosomal RNA (254 nucleotides) under uncultured microorganism. RNAcentral describes it as "partial 16S ribosomal RNA". It matches the Rfam family "Archaeal small subunit ribosomal RNA", at positions 474 to 727 of the family's 1478-position model. The record is from RNAcentral.
CACCGGCGGCUCGAGUGGUAACAGCUAUUAUUGGGUCUAAAGCGUCCGUAGCCGGCUUGGCAAGUCCCCUGGGAAAUCUGGCGGCUUAACCGUCAGGCGUCCAGAGGAUACUGCCAGGCUUGGGACCGGGAGAGGUGAGAGGUACCUCAGGGGUAGGGGUGAAAUCUUGUGAUCCCUGAGGGACCACCAGUGGCGAAGGCGUCUCACUAGAACGGGUCCGACGGUCAGGGACGAAAGCUGGGGGCACGAACCGG